AAUAACAAGGUUAAAUGGACAAGGCUGAAUGGCCCUGUGAUGGGGAGUGCCUUUAAGCCACAUGACGGAAAUGAAACAGGAGCCAUAAUGACCAUGACUGGAGGAGAAUCAGAUUCUGGCCUGGCCUGGUUCUGUGAGAUACCUUAAAUCAUACUUUCUGUAGCAUCCCUUAAAGGUGGGUAGAGAGAAGGAGAGAGUUAAGUGUGGGUGCAGUCAUCCUCAGGAUGGUUGAUCUCUAAAUCUAUUCUUGGGCAAAAGUUUAGAGAAAAGCUGAAUCACUCAGCCCAGAGGAAGCCUGAGGAGGCAUAAAGAAGUCUUGGAAAUCCCCUGAAAAAAAGAAUCAGCUGUAGGCUAACCCAAGAAGAAUAAAGCAUCGGCUUCCCUGACAUGCUGCUCCCCCCAAAACAGAGUGCCAAUAUGAUUCCAAGGUUCUUAGCACACUGUAUAUUACCUCACUCCUCCUACAGGUGGCUUGGAUAUUCCAUUUAAGGAAGAU
This 496-nucleotide long non-coding RNA is filed under the name Homo sapiens (human). RNAcentral describes it as "HSALNT0147099". The record is from RNAcentral. Lineage: Eukaryota; Metazoa; Chordata; Mammalia; Primates; Hominidae.